AGGUCGUAGGGAGCAGCCCGUUCCAGAUU
This 29-nucleotide non-coding RNA is filed under the name Cricetulus griseus (Chinese hamster). The record is from RNAcentral. Lineage: Eukaryota; Metazoa; Chordata; Mammalia; Rodentia; Cricetidae.